AGGCACCAACGCAAGCAAACAGUAUUUGCACAUCUCAGCAGCAGCCAGAAACAGAUUUGUGCGAAUCCAAGUCUGCCAACGAAACUGCUGAAAUCAGGCAACUUGUGGCAACAGCAUUUAAAAACUUCUCGACACUGGUUGACAGCUCAACGUACGAGUAUCACUUGGAGGGCUGUGCCACUGACUUAUGCGCCUGCGAGCCUGCGUCCAUCCAGAACUGCCUCGAUGUCUGCCUGGAAGUGUUUGCUGGCACCGUCAAAAUCAACGAUGAAACUUUAC
Molecule: long non-coding RNA, 279 nt
Organism: Macrobrachium nipponense
Lineage: Eukaryota; Metazoa; Arthropoda; Malacostraca; Decapoda; Palaemonidae
Exons: 3
Source: RefSeq, a predicted model, not a curated record